UUAUAGACAAUGAAAAAGAAUAGUACAUAUUACGCUGUUUUUCAGAAAAUUUGCGGUUGAUGCGAGCAAAUAUUCACGGAUAUGGAAUGGACUUUGGAGUCUUCAAGCCAAAUACUUGAACGUUUUUUCGACGUUAACCGAAAAACAUACUUUUAAUUUUGUAUGAUCAGAGUGAUUUCAGCAAUGAAAUAAUUAGGGUGGUACCACGGUCCAUUCGUCCCUAUU
RNAcentral lists this non-coding RNA (225 nucleotides) under Priestia koreensis. Its description in RNAcentral is "Bacillus koreensis T-box sequence". It matches the Rfam family "T-box leader". From Rfam's summary of the family: Uncharged tRNA acts as the effector for transcription antitermination of genes in the T-box leader family. The record is from RNAcentral. Lineage: Bacteria; Bacillati; Bacillota; Bacilli; Caryophanales; Bacillaceae.